GCCAGAAAAAGCCCAACCAAAAACCCAAAACCCAAACAACUUAACAAAAACAUUUUUCAAGAGAAGUAGCUGAGAACGAACCUCAAACUGACGCCCUAGAGAAAGUACUGCAAAGGAAAAACGAAAAACAUUAAAAUAUAAAGCACAAAAAAGCAGAAAUAAAAACACGUACCUCUUGCAUCACCGUCUAGCAAGACAGACCAAACAAGACGCCACCAAGUAUGCCACCCCGAAUGUGGGUGAGCUAUUAUUUAGCAGUCCACUGGGACUAACUCGUUUCUGUAGCAAAAGAAUGAGAAGACUUAAUAAUAGAGGCGAAAAACCUAUCGAACCCACCGAUAGCUGGUUACCUGAUAAAUGAAUAUAAGUUCAACCUUGGAUUAACUUCUACAAUACAACAAAAUCAAUACUUCAACCCAAGAUUUAGUCCAUGAAGGUACAGCUCCAUGGACAAGGGGUACAACCCAAUAUGAAGAGAAUAUAAUAACCACAAACCCGUGGGCCUUAAAACAGCCACCACUAAAUAUUACGUUAUAGUAACCACACUAAAAAUACAAUUAAUUUUACAAAACUCUCAACCCAAACCAGGCUAUUCUACCCACAUAGAAGAAACCAUGCUAAAACCAGUAAUAAGAAAAACUCUCUUAGACAAAAGUCAUACACACCAGACCAAAAACCACAUGAAACUUAGUACACAAAUCAUCAUAUAAACUGUAAACCCAACACAGGUUUGUCAAAAGAAAGGCACAAAUCUUCAAAAGGAACUCGGCAACCAAUCUUUCCAACUGUUUACCAAAAACAUAGCCAUUAGCCAAACAAAUACUAAAGGUACCGCCUGCCCAGUGAGUAUUUUACUUAAACGGCCGCGACUAAACGUGCAAAGGUAGCGCAAUCACUUGUUCCAUAAAUAGGGACCCGUAUGAACGGCCACAUGAGAAAGAAACUGUCUCUUGAAGAUAGCCAAUGAAACUGAUCUGCUUGUUAAAAAGCAAGUAUAACCAAGCUAGACAAAAAGACCCUGUGAAACUUAAAACUAAGCAUUAAACAAAUAAUGCCUAACUUUUAGUUGGGGCAACUUAAGAAAUACUAAACAUCUUAAAUACCAUAAACCAACAAGUUGAAGCCACUAAACAAAAGAUCCGGCACGGCCGACUAACGAACCAAGCUACUCCAGGGAUAACAGCGCCAAAUUCUUUAAGAGUCCACAUCAACAAGAAUUCUUACGACCUCGAUGUUGGAUCAGGGUACCCAAACAGUGCAGAAGCUGUUAACGGUUCGUUUGUUCAACGACUAAGACCCUACGUGAUCUGAGUUCAGACCGGAGCAAUCCAGGUCGGUCUAUAUCUGCUAUUUAUGCCUCAUCUAGUACGAAAGGACCGAUGAAGCAGAGCCAACCUCACCAUAAGGCACUCUAACCACCACGCCCUGAAAAAACUAAAGCGCAAAACAAGUUUUAAUCUACAGCCAAAGAAAAUGGCUCAU
RNAcentral lists this ribosomal RNA (1482 nucleotides) under Xenagama taylori. Its description in RNAcentral is "large subunit ribosomal RNA". It matches the Rfam family "Bacterial large subunit ribosomal RNA", at positions 377 to 2838 of the family's 2925-position model. Lineage: Eukaryota; Metazoa; Chordata; Lepidosauria; Squamata; Agamidae. The record is from RNAcentral.